Molecule: non-coding RNA, 24 nt
Filed under: Arabidopsis thaliana (thale cress)
Lineage: Eukaryota; Viridiplantae; Streptophyta; Magnoliopsida; Brassicales; Brassicaceae
Source: RNAcentral
GAGGUGUGUUGAAUACUGCAAGCG